RNAcentral lists this long non-coding RNA (812 nucleotides) under Equus asinus (donkey). RNAcentral describes it as "lncRNA (ENSEASG00005036852.1)". Lineage: Eukaryota; Metazoa; Chordata; Mammalia; Perissodactyla; Equidae. The record is from RNAcentral.
CUUUUUGAUGGGUGCCUGAUACUCCAUAAGUCUGCUGCCCACUGGCCCCUCUGGGCUCUCGGUCAUUUUCUGCUCAGAAUCAUCCCAACUGUAUGAGGCCUUCUUGGCACCUGCAGGGCUUCCCUCCGGGGGCCCAGGCCCCUCUGUGGACUUGCCAGUUGGUUCAAGAAUUGAGUGGAGGAAGAUCUCUCAGGUUCUGGCCUCCCACCUGCGCUGUGUUGCCGUGGGACUGAUCCUUCCCUGGAGCCACCCUUACCUGCAUCGAUCCCAACCUGAGCUGCCAUCAGAUAACCCCCCAUCCACGGGCCUGGGGUCACACAGACUUGGGGUCCUGGUCCAGGUUCCCCUCACGACUGCGUGAACUUAGUUUACGUUGGGACUGAGUGCCUGUGGCUGGCCUGUGCUGGAGUCAGCAAACAGCAAGGAUGAGGACGAGGACCCGGGCCUCUGCCAGGUGUGCGCCUGGGAGGAGAAAUAGCCAGCUGUGGAGGGGGGGGCCAGACAAGCUCCCCAAGGGCCCCAGUCCCCCUGUGGCCAGCCAGUCCGUGCAGGUUCCCCAGACUCUGAACACAAGUGGAGAGCAGAGAGGAGGGCUGAGGCCCCAUUGCCCACAGCCGACAACAGGCAGGUUUCCAACCUCUGAAUUCAGAUCCUAGGAUAACUCGGUUUCAGUGAGGAAGCUGAUGAAAGGGCAGAGGCAGAGGAGGGAGAGGAAAGAUGGAGGUGAGGGGGAGGGAAGUGUCAAUGCACCUGCUUUACUGGAACGAGACUUCAGAUUCCACGCACCACUUGCACGCGGGAGAAACUAUGUC